Molecule: long non-coding RNA, 4028 nt
Filed under: Homo sapiens (human)
Lineage: Eukaryota; Metazoa; Chordata; Mammalia; Primates; Hominidae
Description: HSALNT0304880
Source: RNAcentral
CGCAAACGCAGCGGGUGGCUGGGGUAGGGGCUCAUUGGGAGCCCACGGAGCGCGGCGGCGGCUCGGGGGCCGAGUUCCCUACAACAAGGAUGGCGGUGACGGGCGCAGGGAGCGGGGCCCGGCUCUCCUUGCCUCGAGGCUCCUCUGAUUCCACUCGCGUGGCUGCGCGGCCCUGGCAGCGGCCUUCGUCCCGGGGGUGGGAGCUACACAGGGUUCCGCCCCGUCCUGGCGAGGACGCCUGAGGGGGCUCUGUGAUAAAGAAAUGGGGGCUCCGAGCAGUCAAGAAGAACAUGCCCCAAGUUAUUCGUCAGUGAGGCGGAAAUUGUGGUGUACUUGUGGCUGCAAUCAAGAUGUUGGCAUGGCUGGGGUCUCAUCUGAAGGCUGGACUGGAGAAGAAUCUACUUCCAAACUUAUGUGGUAGUUGGAAGAAUUUAGUUCCUCAAGGCCGCUAAACUGAUGGCCUGUGUUCCUUGCCUAUGGGAUGGUAGCUUGCUUCAACAAAGUGUGCAAGCAGAGAAGACAGAGAGUCCGCUAGCAAGAUAGAAGCCACAAUCUCUUGUAAUCUAUCAUUUUUGCUGUAUUCUACUGGUUAAAAAUAACUCAUUAGGUUAGCCUACUGGCUCUCAAGGGGAAGAGAUUAUACAAAGGCAUGAAUUUCUGGAGGAGGGAAUGAGGGCAAAGAAUUCUGAGAAGUCUGUCUUCCACAAUCUGAAGAACUUCUAGAAAGUAGGAGGAAGCGAUAUUGCUUAGGGAUGGACAACUUGGCACUGGUUAUGUAUUUCAAGUGAGGUAACCUUGUUCCCAAGAAUAAAGAGAACCAGACGACUGUAAACAUUUCCCUAAACUGAAAUGCAGACUGUUGUAUGUUCCCCUGAAAUGAAUGGUGUAAGCUGAAUAUAAGAUUUUUGACAAAAAUUUUGCUGUGUUCUCAGAUCUGGCAGGCCCCUGCCCUUGUGCAAACAAUGUUCCUGGCAGCUAUUCAUCUCCUUAGGUAAAUAAGAAUUGGAGAAAAGCUGUGCUAAGAUAGGAUGCAUUUGCUCUUGCCUUGGAAGGUUGUUUUCUGAUAAGGUUCUAUAUCCUCAGCAAAUCAAAUCAGGCACUUACAGUGUGAGUAUGCAUUCUCUGCCUGCCAGUCUGGAGAUGAUCAAAAAGCCUAUAACAGGCUUGGCCUAUUUUCCUAUUGGGUUGCUGGGCUUUUUUUUCGUCUUUAUUUACUUGUAGAGAGUUUUAGACCUCUGUGUAUGUAUGGUGUACAAGUGACAAUAUUCAGAUCUGUAAACUGUAACACAGUCUGGGAGCAAAGAAGAUAUAGAAAAAUGACUUUUACUUCCUGCUUGAGUAGUAAAAUUGAGAUUCAAAUUUUGCAUAUAGAAGUACUAUAUGGCUAACUUAUUUGGGGAGCAAAACUGACUUACCAUAAGUCUACCUGAAAUAGAAAUGAAACACUCAAUUUGUGAAAUAUGCUGAGUUUUAAUGUGUGUGGGGGCAAGGUGAAUUAACAUUUGUGAUGCAAGGAGAGGAGCAAUCUAUACUUACCAGUGUCUAUUUGACAUUGUUUGGGGACUACUGUUACACUCUAAGUCACUUUACCUUAUAACGCAGAGUUGUAACACGCUACUCUGAGCAGCUCAUGACAUCUGCUUGAAAUUUAAGUUGGGCCCCUAAUAUGUGUUAAUUAUAAGGACUUUGAUGUUGCUUUUCCGAGUUGGGUAACCUACUUUACCCCCUAAGCUAAUGUUUCCCAAAUACACCCAAACCCACAGAAAGGAAAACUAUUCCUCAUUAACUUACAGCCAACAUCAUAAACAUUUUAUAUCUAGAGCUGAUGAUACAGUCAGGUAUUUACCAACACUCAUGUAUAUAUGUAGAGUUUCAAGAAAUAAUUGCUUACCCUUACUAGAUGCAACAUAUUCUAAUGUUUGACAUAUUAUUUUUAUUUCUUAAUUUUUUUUUAAAGAUGGGGUUUUACUCUGUUGUCCAGGCUGAAAUGCAGUGGCAUGACCAGGAUUUCGACCAGAAGUUUGACUGCAGCCUCGAACUCCUUAUAACAAACAAUCCUGCUGCCUUAGCCUCCUGAGUAGCUAGGACUAUGGACACAUGCCACCAGAUCUGGGAUAUUUUAAAAUUUUUGCAGACAUAGGGUCUCGCCAUGUUGCCCAGGCUGAUUCUGAACUCCUGUUCUCAAGCAAUCCUCCUGCCUGGUCUUCCCAAACUGUUGGGCUUACAGGUGUGAGUCACUGAGCCCAGCUUGUAUUCUUUUGAUUUUAAAAAAAUAUUCUGAAUGUGAUCCACCAAAUUAAUUUCACCAUCCACUAAUAGGUAGCAACCUGAAUGAAAAAUACUGUUAUAAACUUUACACAAAACCAGAGAUUAUAAACAUUUGCCUCCAAGGAGAUGAGAGAGGCAAAAGGUACUUGUUUGCUCUGAUGGGCCCUGUUUCCUUCAGUGCCAGGAAGAGUGGCUCUCAGAUCUUUCUUCUGGCAUCCCUCAUGUAUGCAGUGUUGGUUAUUAUUUUCAAGGCCUUGGUAACAAAAUGCCCCUAGUGUGACCAGUCAGACUGACAGUCCAUAUCUGUAAUAUGGUGGUAAGUUUCCUUUGCAUGUCUUUCUUUCUUGCAUCUUAGACCUUUUACCUAGGAAAUUUUCUUUUUGCUUAAAGUACAUCAUUAAGAAUUUUCAAUGAAGGCAGAUUCUUAAAGUUUUUGUUUUCCAGAAGAGAUCUUGGAAAAUAUAAAAGGUUGGCAGUUAUUUCUUUUAGUACAUGAGAUAGUAUUACACCAAUGCUGUUGAGAAGUCUAUUGUGAGGCAAUGUGUCUUCUUUCUCUGGCUGCUUUUGAGAUUUCUCUCUGUCUUUUUUAGGGGCAGUUUUACUCUUAUGUGACUAGAAGUAGAUUUCUUCUUUUUUUUUUAAUACUGCUUGAGAUUUUAUUGGGUUUUUGAAUCUGUGGAUAUCCUUCAACAGUUCUGAAAGAUUUCCAGCCAUUCUCUUCAUAUAUUAUCUGUGCUGUAUUCUUUUCUCUCCUUUUAGAACUUCAAUUAGUAAAAACAUGUUUGAUGUCUUUUCCCACUAUUGUUUUUUGUUUCUCCCAUGCUGAAUUCUGUGUAAUUUCUUUUGAACUAUCUUGUAGUUUACAUUCUUUUUUUUUUUUUUUUGAGACAGGGUUUUGCUCUUGUUGCUCGGGCUGGAGUGCAAUGGCACCAUCUCAGCUCACUGCAACCUCUGCCUCCCGGGUUCAAGCGAUUCUCCUACCUCAGCCUCCCAAGUAGCUGGGAUUACAGGCAUGUGCCACCACGCCCGGCUAAUUUUUGUAUUCUGAGUAGAGACGGGGUUUCACCAUGUUGGCCAGGCUGGUCUAGAACUCCUGGGUGAUCUACCCUCCUCAGCCUCCCAAAGUGCUGGAUUACAGGUGUGAGCCACCGUGCCAGGCCUUACAUUCUCUCUCUUUAAGAGAGAAUGUAAGGUAUCUAAAUCUGCUGCUAAACCAUCAUUGUUUUUAAUUGUAAUAAGGUCUCUUUUAUGUACUCACAUUGAUAAGAGACAAGUAGUAAAUAAUCUUUAAAGGGCAAACUAAUUUAAAUGUGUUUUCCUGUCUGUUUACAGGACUUAGCAAAUGCACAUCUUAGAGUUCUGGGUUUCUAAUGUGUAUCUCCUCUAUGAAAUUCUUUAAAAAUAUCUGUUCUUGGUAUCCCUUAGGUUAGUCUCUUUUAGAACUUCUAAAUCAAUGGACCCUUAACUUAUAGGAGCCACCUGGACGUUAGCAACAUCUACAUUAAACAUGCUGAGCUUUUAAAAGAGGCCUGUUAGACAUGCUGAGUAUUUUGAGAUAAUAUCAUUGUUGUAUUGAAAGCUAUUGAAAACUUUAAUUUUAAAAUGCAAACGUUCUUAAAGUCCUGGUUGAUUUUAUAACUAUAAAAUUAGUUAUAAUUUUGAGAUUUCUGUCUUGUUUUUUUAUAGGGGCAGUUUUACUCUUAGGUAACUAGAUUUCUUCUUUUUUAUAAUCAUAAAAUUAGGUUUACUUUUGUUAGAAU